RNAcentral lists this ribosomal RNA (1440 nucleotides) under metagenome. RNAcentral's name for it is "bacterial LSU rRNA". It matches the Rfam family "Bacterial large subunit ribosomal RNA", at positions 1508 to 2925 of the family's 2925-position model. The record is from RNAcentral.
AAGUUUAAGGUGGUAGGCUGAAAUCUUAGGUAAAUCCGGGGUUUCAAGGCCGAGAGCUGAUGACGAGUCGUCUUUUAGAUGACGAAGUGGUUGAUGCCAUGCUUCCAAGAAAAGCUUCUAAGCUUCAGGUAACCAGGAACCGUACCCCAAACCGACACAGGUGGUCGGGUAGAGAAUACCAAGGCGCUUGAGAGAACUCGGGUGAAGGAACUAGGCAAAAUGGCACCGUAACUUCGGGAGAAGGUGCGCCGGCUAGGGUGAAGGAUUUACUCCGUAAGCUCUGGCUGGUCGAAGAUACCAGGCCGCUGCGACUGUUUAUUAAAAACACAGCACUCUGCAAACACGAAAGUGGACGUAUAGGGUGUGACGCCUGCCCGGUGCCGGAAGGUUAAUUGAUGGGGUUAGCGCAAGCGAAGCUCUUGAUCGAAGCCCCGGUAAACGGCGGCCGUAACAAUAACGGUCCUAAGGUAGCGAAAUUCCUUGUCGGGUAAGUUCCGACCUGCACGAAUGGCGUAACGAUGGCGGCGCUGUCUCCACCCGAGACUCAGUGAAAUUGAAAUCGCUGUGAAGAUGCAGUGUAUCCGCGGCUAGACGGAAAGACCCCGUGAACCUUUACUGUAGCUUUGCACUGGACUUUGAGCCUGCUUGUGUAGGAUAGGUGGGAGGCUUUGAAGCGUGGACGCCAGUUCGCGUGGAGCCAUCCUUGAAAUACCACCCUGGCAUGCUUGAGGUUCUAACUCUGGUCCGUAAUCCGGAUCGAGGACAGUGUAUGGUGGGCAGUUUGACUGGGGCGGUCUCCUCCUAAAGAGUAACGGAGGAGUACGAAGGUGCGCUCAGACCGGUCGGAAAUCGGUCGCAGAGUAUAAAGGCAAAAGCGCGCUUGACUGCGAGACAGACACGUCGAGCAGGUACGAAAGUAGGUCUUAGUGAUCCGGUGGUUCUGUAUGGAAGGGCCAUCGCUCAACGGAUAAAAGGUACUCCGCGGAUAACAGGCUGAUACCGCCCAAGAGUUCAUAUCGACGGCGGUGUUUGGCACCUCGAUAUCGGCUCAUCACAUCCUGGGGCUGAAGCCGGUCCCAAGGGUAUGGCUGUUCGCCAUUUAAAGUGGUACGCGAGCUGGGUUUAGAACGUCGUGAGACAGUUCGGUCCCUAUCUGCCGUGGACGUUUGAGAUUUGAGAGGGGCUGCUCCUAGUACGAGAGGACCGGAGUGGACGAACCUCUGGUGUUCCGGUUGUCACGCCAGUGGCAUUGCCGGGUAGCUAUGUUCGGAAAAGAUAACCGCUGAAAGCAUCUAAGCGGGAAACUUGCCUCAAGAUGAGAUCUCACUGGGAACUUGAUUCCCCUGAAGGGCCGUCGAAGACUACGACGUUGAUAGGCUGGGUGUGUAAGCGUUGUGAGGCGUUGAGCUAACCAGUACUAAUUGCCCGUGAGGCUUGACC